CACGUAGGCACCAAGCGUUGUCCGGAUUUAUUGGGCGUAAAGAGCUCGUAGGCGGUUCAGUAAGUCGGGUGUGAAAACUCAGGGCUCAACCCUGAGCGGCCACCCGAUACUGCUGUGACUUGAGUCCGGUAGGGGAGUGGGGAAUUCCUGGUGUAGCGGUGAAAUGCGCAGAUAUCAGGAGGAACACCGGUGGCGAAGGCGCCACUCUGGGCCGAGACUGACGCUGAGGAGCGAAAGCGUGGGUAGCAAA
This 250-nucleotide ribosomal RNA is filed under the name uncultured bacterium. RNAcentral's name for it is "partial 16S ribosomal RNA". It matches the Rfam family "Bacterial small subunit ribosomal RNA", at positions 524 to 772 of the family's 1533-position model. The record is from RNAcentral.